Molecule: long non-coding RNA, 222 nt
Filed under: Elaeis guineensis (African oil palm)
Lineage: Eukaryota; Viridiplantae; Streptophyta; Magnoliopsida; Arecales; Arecaceae
Description: long non-coding RNA (EGUI_LNC026067)
Source: RNAcentral
GGCAUCCUAAGCGGGUGAGGGAGUGGGUGCAAAUUGAUUGUCAUAUGUGAUGGCAAUUCUACCUUAUGUAAGAAUCCUUCUUUCAUGAGUAUUGGACUGAUUCAAAUCAGAUUUGAGUUAGGACUCCUAUACUUAUUAGGUUAUAAGAAUCAUCUAUAAAUAAAAAGAGUCUCUACCUAUAGAUGCAUAGUAAACAAAUCAGAUUGAGAGAAGAGAGAAAGA